AGGGCUUAACUGUCUCCCCUCCCCAGUCAAUGAAAUUGAUCUCCCCGUGCAGAAGCGGGGAUAAUUCCAUAAGACGAGAAGACCCUAUGGAGCUUUAGACGUCAGAGCAGCCCAUGUAAAGCACCCCUUAACAAAGGAAAAAACCAAAUGAAGCCUGCCCUAAUGUCUUUGGUUGGGGCGACCGCGGGGAAAUACAAAACCCCCAUGUGGAGUAGGAAUACACAUUCCUAAACCCAAGAGCUCCCGCUCUAAUGAACAGAAAUUCUGACCAAUAAGAUCCGGCACACGCCGAUCAACGGACCGAGUUACCCUAGGGAUAACAGCGCAAUCCCCUUAAAGAGCCCUUAUCGACAAGGGGGUUUACGACCUCGAUGUUGGAUCAGGACAUCCUAAUGGUGCAGCCGCUAUUAAGGGUUCGUUUGUU
This 424-nucleotide ribosomal RNA is filed under the name Pagrus major (red seabream). RNAcentral describes it as "partial 16S ribosomal RNA". It matches the Rfam family "Bacterial large subunit ribosomal RNA", at positions 2007 to 2581 of the family's 2925-position model. The record is from RNAcentral. Lineage: Eukaryota; Metazoa; Chordata; Actinopteri; Spariformes; Sparidae.